GCCAACCGGGAUCGUGUGUGUGUGUGUGUGCGUUUCUAUGGUGACGGUUAGAGGAAGUUGACGAUUAUUUGGUGGCUUUGCAGUGUGAAUGAUGCAAGAUAAGCUGCAUUGUUUGUGAGCUGUCUUGAGUAGGCGAGAUUAAUAAAAUGUGAAUAUUUUUUUAGUGUUUUCUAUAUUUUUUUAAAUACCAUUGUAUAUUUUUACUAAAGUCUAUUACAUUUAUUUGAUCUCAAUUGGAGUUGUUCUACAUUGUAAUAAAAGAUUUGUUUCGUUUUAUUCAUAAAAAGGUACUCAAGUUAUUUUAAUUUUCAUUGCACAUUUCCUUAUUGGGAUCCAUACGGGUGGUGAUGCCCCUCUCCAUGGAACGCAAUGGUACACUAUAGGAAUAUGAAGUUUCCCCUCGUUGCCUCGACCUCGGGCCUAGCAUAGGAACCCAUUGCAUUGGAUCAAAGUACCGUGACCUUAGAACAAAUAAGUCUAGGGCCUUUUUGUUACGGGGGAGAGUGAGGAGGGGGGGGGGGGAAAUAAACGAUACUCGAAUUUACAGAAUUAGCUGAUCAAAGGAUGGUAUUGAAAAGCGUUUAUAUAGUAAAAUUUUAAGAAAGUUAGAAUAAAGUUAAGCCAGUUUCGUAAAGUCUUAAAAAAAAAAAUUCUCAGUUGAAGUCUGUUUCUAUUUUUUUUUUAUAUUAUAGAACUAUUGAUAAAUGUCCAAAACAAAGAGAUUUUAAAAUAUAAACAACACUCAUUUUACAGUAGUGUAACUUUGAAUGUAUAUUUUUAUGUAUGUUUUUUUUUUUUUUGAAUAAAUUAAAAGUACGAUGUGGUAUCGUUUGGUGACACCAAAGUUAAUGACGCCACUGUCUUUAUAAAUAUAUAAAUAUAUUUUUUUUUUACAUGAAAAAUAAAUAAUUAUUUCAAAUGAAUUUAAGUUCCUUGUUUGACUCACAAGCACAGGAAAUUCUGACAUAGUAAGACGACUUCUAUCGAUCACUUUUUGUUCAGAUCGCAAAAUAUUUCAGGUCGGCUUAUCUGUGCCUGCUUACACAUUGUUAUAUUGCUAUAUGCAUACGAAAUUAUAUUUACAAAAUAAGAGAAAGCCUUGCAACGCAGAUACAAACAAAACCCUAACUCAUGCGAAUUAGUUUCCUAUUCAAACCUCAUUUCUCUCUUCUUAUUUACCUUUUUUUUAUAUUUUGUUUUCGAAUUUGAGCAAACAUAGCUAAAAUUUCUCCAUUGAGGUCGAUUACAACAUAUCUGUCAUCCAGAACUUAGAAAGCUUUGCUAUGCACUAAUGCACAUUGGUCUGUUUUAAAGACUAUCGAAUUUAUAAAUUGUUGCUAUUUGAAAGAGUAAUUGAAUUCUGAGGAUAUCUGCAACUUUCCACUGCCUUGGUUCUUUCGUAUGGAGGAUGAUUGCAUUCCAAAGGCGAUCGUGUUUUUCUUUUUCAAAAUAAACAGGUAAGCGUAAUAAAAUGUCCAUAUAUUUUUUUCUCCCUAACAUAGAGAAAAGUAGCUAGGAGAUGAUUUUUUCUCAGAAAGGUCGAAAAACACAAAUUUUAGACUCUACGAAUCGUUGCGUGAAAUACUGCAAACAUUAUUAGUUUUCUUCUUGACCAGAAGUGACACAGUAUUUACAUACUCACGAAGUAGAUUAGGCUGACGAUCUAUUUUAAGUGCUUUGAAUCUGUACGAUAAGAUAGUGUUCAUUUGAUCUAAAUCUAAAAUACAUACAUAAACAUAUGAAAUCAUACUGAUAAGUAUGAACAUUUCUACUAUUAAAGUGGUGAAGAAUUGUACAUGGUUAUAUAGAUAUUAUAUGUAGUGUUAGUGAGCAAAUCUACUCUAUAAUUUAUAAAUUAAAUGGCUAAAAUAUAAUUUAAAGCAUCUCACUUCUCAGCUUCUACAUCCUGCGACAUUAUUUUUCUUCUUUACAAAGGUUAUUUAUUUUUCAGAUAUCUGAAGUUAACAUUUAAGAGAUCGUUUUUAAAAUUAAGAAAUACAAUGUUUGAUGUCUUCCUAUUUUUGAAAUUUAUGUAUUCAACAAAGUAUAUCGCAUAAGUCAUCUAUUUAGAUAACGAACCAUUUUCCAGUGUGCUCGAUAAAGAUUUUGUUAGUGUCAGACCCUUCAGAAUUUGACAUCAAUCUAAUUUAUAUGAAAAGUAAAAUUUUAAUUUAAAAAAAAAUGAAAAUAAUGUAUUUUUUUUAAUCAAUGGUGAACUAAAAUUACUGUGAAAAAUAAAGCUGAAUCUGUUUGGAGCAAGAUGUGUGUUAACAAAAGCUCUAGUCAUGAUCAAUACUGUAAUUUUUUGUUUUAAUUUCAGUUGUGGCUAGCUAUGUCUUUGUACGAAAAGAAAAUAGCGAUGAUGUGUGGUGAAGUGAAACGAUAUAUCCUCAUUUGGAUCAUGUUUUCAUCUAUUCAAUAUCAAUGUGAUAUGCUUAAUUGCGAUUCAGUCGAAGAAGGAUCACCGGCGAUAUUACAAAUUCCAACAAAUGUUUCUACAAUCAACAGCAUUACUCAUAUUUAUAUGAAUAAUAGACUCAAAUGCAUAUGCUAUAGUGAUAGUAGGCAAUGCUAUUUUAUUCAGGAUUCUAGUUUUACAUGCAACUGGGACAACGUUACUAACAAUAUAACAGCAACAGAAACAAAUAUCACGAGAUCUACGAAAAGCAAUACAAAAAAAUGUUGGUCUGUUUGGUAUACCCCACCAAGGACUGACCAGUGUUGUUUUCAAAUAUUUAGUAAAGCUAAAAACCUGACUUGUGUAUCAACAUCUAAAGAGAGCGUUGAUGUUUCUUGCACAGCAACGAAUAUAUUCCCGGAGGCAAGUUGUUUGUUUACUCUAAACCAAAAUUCUCAUCAGGUAAUAAUCAUUUUUCUUUAAUAAGCUUAUUGCUAAUGUUUAUAUAAUGCGUUCUCAUGUAAUCCUCUAAACGUUAAGAUGUAAGUCCAUUGACACUCUGUGUCACGCUUGGUCGA
Biomphalaria glabrata is the source of this 2976-nucleotide long non-coding RNA. RefSeq lists it as uncharacterized. The transcript has 3 exons. The record is from RefSeq and is a predicted model, not a curated record. Lineage: Eukaryota; Metazoa; Mollusca; Gastropoda; Planorbidae.